UUCGCAAUGCCCGAAAGGGUGACGAUGCGACGCCGCGUGAGCGAAGAAGGCCCUAGGGUUGUAAAGCUCUGUCGAGGGUUAUGAAAUAUAGAUGGGUUAAUACCCCAUUUAUUUGACAAAAGCCCAAAAGGAAGCCACGGCUAACUCUGUGCCAGCAGCCGCGGUAAUACAGAGGUGGCGAGCGUUGUUCGGUAUUAUUGGGCGUAAAGAGCACGUAGGUGGUUUUGUAAGUCAGGUGUGAAAGCCUUCUGUUCAAAGGAAGAACGGCAUCUGAAACUGCAGAUCUUGAGUGUAGGAGGGGAGAGUGGAACUUCUGGUGGAGCGGUGAAAUGCGUAGAUAUCAGAAGGAACGUCGGCGGCGAAAGCGACUCUCUGGCCCGAAACUGACGCUGAGUGUGCGAAAGCUAGGGGAGCAAACGGGAUUAGAUACCCCGGUAGUCCUAGCCGUAAACGAUGGGCACUAAGUAGAGGGGUUUU
This 477-nucleotide ribosomal RNA is filed under the name Candidatus Scalindua wagneri. RNAcentral describes it as "bacterial SSU rRNA". It matches the Rfam family "Bacterial small subunit ribosomal RNA", at positions 365 to 832 of the family's 1533-position model. Lineage: Bacteria; Pseudomonadati; Planctomycetota; Candidatus Brocadiia; Candidatus Brocadiales; Candidatus Scalinduaceae. The record is from RNAcentral.